This 29-nucleotide non-coding RNA is filed under the name Mus musculus (house mouse). The record is from RNAcentral. Lineage: Eukaryota; Metazoa; Chordata; Mammalia; Rodentia; Muridae.
UGUCCAGCAUCUGGAACUCACAUGGAAUC